RNAcentral lists this ribosomal RNA (490 nucleotides) under uncultured bacterium. RNAcentral's name for it is "partial 16S ribosomal RNA". It matches the Rfam family "Bacterial small subunit ribosomal RNA", at positions 30 to 507 of the family's 1533-position model. The record is from RNAcentral.
AUUGAACGCUGGCGGCAGGCCUAACACAUGCAAGUCGAACGGUAACAGGAAGAUGCUUUCUUCUUUGCUAACGAGUGGCGGACGGGUGAGUAAUGUCUGGGAAACUGCCUGAUGGAGGGGGAUAACUACUGAAAACGGUAGCUAAUACCGCAUAACGUCGCAAGCCCAAAGAGGGGGACCUUCGGGCCGCUGUCCAUCGGAGAUGCCCGGCUGGGAUGCGCUAGUAUGUGGGGUAAGGGCCCCCCUAGGUGACGAUCCAUAGCUGGUCGGAGAGGAUGACCAGCCACAUUGGAACGGAGACACGGACCAGACGACUACGGGAGGCAGCAGUGGGGAACAUUGCACAAUGGGCGGAAGUCUGAUGCAGUCAUGCCGAGUGUAUGAAGAAGGCCUUCGGGUUGGAAAGUACUCUCAGCGGGGAGGAAGGGAUUAAAGUUAAUACCUUGGCUCAUUGACGGUACCCGCAGAAGAAGCACCGGCUAACUCCGUG